Gossypium arboreum is the source of this 139-nucleotide non-coding RNA. The record is from Rfam. Lineage: Eukaryota; Viridiplantae; Streptophyta; Magnoliopsida; Malvales; Malvaceae.
UAUUAAAAGUUUCAUCUAUUUGUACUGUUAAAAACUAGUAUGGCUGAUGUAACCAAUCAGUGACAUGUACAUCACAUGUACCUCAUGUUGACAUUAAGUAGCCAAUUUUUAACUGUAGAAAUAAAUGGAAUUUUUAACA